Molecule: ribosomal RNA, 882 nt
Filed under: human metagenome
Description: bacterial LSU rRNA
Rfam family: Bacterial large subunit ribosomal RNA
Source: RNAcentral
CCGUAACUAUAACGGUCCUAAGGUAGCGAAAUUCCUUGUCGGGUAAGUUCCGACCUGCACGAAUGGCAUAAUGAUGGCCAGGCUGUCUCCACCCGAGACUCAGUGAAAUUGAAAUCGCCGUGAAGAUGCGGUGUACCCGCGGCUAGACGGAAAGACCCCGUGAACCUUUACUAUAGCUUGACACUGAACAUUGAAUUUUGAUGUGUAGGAUAGGUGGGAGACUUAGAAGUAGUCACGCCAGUGAUUAUGGAGUCGUCCUUGAAAUACCACCCUUUAACGUUUGAUGUUCUAACGAAGAUUGCGGAACGCGGUCUCGGACAGUGUCUGGUGGGUAGUUUGACUGGGGCGGUCUCCUCCCAAAGAGUAACGGAGGAGCACGAAGGUUUGCUAAUGACGGUCGGACAUCGUCAGGUUAGUGCAAUGGUAUAAGCAAGCUUAACUGCGAGACAGACAAGUCGAGCAGGUACGAAAGUAGGUCAUAGUGAUCCGGUGGUUCUGAAUGGAAGGGCCAUCGCUCAACGGAUAAAAGGUACUCCGGGGAUAACAGGCUGAUACCGCCCAAGAGUUCAUAUCGACGGCGGUGUUUGGCACCUCGAUGUCGGCUCAUCACAUCCUGGGGCUGAAGUAGGUCCCAAGGGUAUGGCUGUUCGCCAUUUAAAGUGGUACGCGAGCUGGGUUUAGAACGUCGUGAGACAGUUCGGUCCCUAUCUGCCGUGGGCGUUGGAGAAUUGGUUGGGGCUGCUCCUAGUACGAGAGGACCGGAGUGGACGCACCACUGGUGUUCCGGUUGUGUCGCCAGACGCAUUGCCGGGUAGCUAAGUGCGGAAGAGAUAAGUGCUGAAAGCAUCUAAGCACGAAACUUGCCAAGAGAUGAGUUCUCCC